RNAcentral lists this small RNA (124 nucleotides) under Salmonella enterica. RNAcentral's name for it is "partial RtT sRNA". It matches the Rfam family "RtT RNA". Rfam says of the family: This family represents a bacterial cis-regulatory element known as RtT RNA. RNAcentral also lists the same sequence under 3 other names. The record is from RNAcentral. Lineage: Bacteria; Pseudomonadati; Pseudomonadota; Gammaproteobacteria; Enterobacterales; Enterobacteriaceae.
CGUACGGGGAAGGAUGAGAAGCUUCGACUAAGGUUCGAUUCGAGCGAAAGCGAGAAAGCGUUGCCGCAGGCAACGACCCGAAGGGCGAAGCGCGCAGCGCUGAGUCAUCCUUCCCCCACCACCA